GCACGCAUCCCCAGAUGACAGUUUGAAUCCCCCUCACGCACAAAUGAAGCAAUCUUAUUUGAAUCUUCAAUCCGUGUCUUCCCAUCUCAUCCGAUCUCCGCGCCCCUUAGCCACCUGAGUUCGACUCCCACCUAACGCAAAACCAUUUAUUUUCUUCCAUUUUCAAUGACAAAUUCUUGCCAAAUUUUCGAAACUUCUCCAUUUUUCGUGAUUUUUCCCCAUUUGCUAUAAUCCCCCAAUUUUCUCUACAAAUAUCCCUUUUAACUCCUAAUUUCAUAUAGAAUUCAAUUCAAUUCACUAUUCCCUCUAAAAUUACUCCCAAUUUCUUCCAAAUUCCAAAUUCUCUACCCCAUUCUGUAUUAUUUGGAUCUUCAACAAAUUUUCCGGAAUUAUUGAAGAUGCAAGACUAAUUUCUUGAGGAAGGUCUCCGACGGGUGGUGUCCCAAUUUGGAGAUUGAGUUGUAGAUUCAGAGACGUCAUCGAAAGUAGCAAUCCAGGAUCAAGCGUUGAUCAUUCUCCAUUAUUUUGUAGACCUUCAUUUUGGUAUGUAGUUACACUCUGUUACAUCAUGGGAGUGGUUAGUUGUAUCAAGAGAGAUGCUAAGAACUCGAAUUUUGAAGGAAUUCACAUUAGAUUGAAGUCUUUUUUGUAUGUAAUUCCUAGUUUAAAUUUUGAAUUCUACUUGGAACUCUGGAACUGUUGGGAUGUGUGUGGUGAGACACACUUAUAGUGUGGUAGUAUAUGAAGUUUGGUUUCUUAUGUAUUGAAGUGAAAAUAUUUACCUUUUCAAGUUUGGCUACCUUGUAUUUUAGGGGAGGUGUUGUCGAAUUUUCUCUAGAUGUUUUCUUUUUAUUAUUGGAAAAGGUGUUUUUAUAAAUCUUAUGUUUGAAAAGAAUGUACGAAGGAGCUAGCAAGAGGGAAAGUCUAAAAUAGGGUGUGACAAGCUUAAGCAGAUGGAUCCUUCUGAAUGAACUCCAUAAUGAUAGUGCAUCGAUGCAUCAACUUUACUCCUAUGCAUAAGGGCAAGCAUACACAAGGCAGCAUGCUUGGCUUUACGAUUGAGCAUUGGCAGCUAGAUUACUGGUUCCUCUUUUGUGCUUAAACUUGAAGUUUAAUUUAGUCAAAAAUUCUUGCCACCUUGAUUGUUUAGAGGUCAACUUAAAUGUUAAUUUUCUUCCAAAAUUUUCUUUGGAAUUGGAAUCGGUUGUAGCACCCCUGCUGGUUUGGUUGC
Long non-coding RNA from Cucumis sativus (cucumber), 1231 nucleotides. RefSeq lists it as uncharacterized. The record is from RefSeq and is a predicted model, not a curated record. Lineage: Eukaryota; Viridiplantae; Streptophyta; Magnoliopsida; Cucurbitales; Cucurbitaceae. The transcript is spliced from 3 exons.